This 2926-nucleotide ribosomal RNA is filed under the name Salmonella enterica subsp. enterica serovar Indiana. RNAcentral's name for it is "23S ribosomal RNA". It matches the Rfam family "Bacterial large subunit ribosomal RNA". The record is from RNAcentral. Lineage: Bacteria; Pseudomonadati; Pseudomonadota; Gammaproteobacteria; Enterobacterales; Enterobacteriaceae.
GGGUUGUGAGGUUAAGCGACUAAGCGUACACGGUGGAUGCCCUGGCAGUCAGAGGCGAUGAAGGACGUGCUAAUCUGCGAUAAGCGCCGGUAAGGUGAUAUGAACCGUUAUAACCGGCGAUUUCCGAAUGGGGAAACCCAGUGUGACUCGUCACACUAUCAUUAACUGAAUCCAUAGGUUAAUGAGGCGAACCGGGGGAACUGAAACAUCUAAGUACCCCGAGGAAAAGAAAUCAACCGAGAUUCCCCCAGUAGCGGCGAGCGAACGGGGAGGAGCCCAGAGCCUGAAUCAGCAUGUGUGUUAGUGGAAGCGUCUGGAAAGGCGCGCGAUACAGGGUGACAGCCCCGUACACAAAAGCGCAUGUGCUGUGAGCUCGAUGAGUAGGGCGGGACACGUGGUAUCCUGUCUGAAUAUGGGGGGACCAUCCUCCAAGGCUAAAUACUCCUGACUGACCGAUAGUGAACCAGUACCGUGAGGGAAAGGCGAAAAGAACCCCGGCGAGGGGAGUGAAAAAGAACCUGAAACCGUGUACGUACAAGCAGUGGGAGCACCCUUCGGGGUGUGACUGCGUACCUUUUGUAUAAUGGGUCAGCGACUUAUAUUCUGUAGCAAGGUUAACCGAAUAGGGGAGCCGGAGGGAAACCGAGUCUUAAUUGGGCGUUAAGUUGCAGGGUAUAGACCCGAAACCCGGUGAUCUAGCCAUGGGCAGGUUGAAGGUUGGGUAACACUAACUGGAGGACCGAACCGACUAAUGUUGAAAAAUUAGCGGAUGACCUGUGGCUGGGGGUGAAAGGCCAAUCAAACCGGGAGAUAGCUGGUUCUCCCCGAAAGCUAUUUAGGUAGCGCCUCGUGAAUUCAUCUCCGGGGGUAGAGCACUGUUUCGGCUAGGGGGCCAUCCCGGCUUACCAACCCGAUGCAAACUGCGAAUACCGGAGAAUGUUAUCACGGGAGACACACGGCGGGUGCUAACGUCCGUCGUGAAGAGGGAAACAACCCAGACCGCCAGCUAAGGUCCCAAAGUCAUGGUUAAGUGGGAAACGAUGUGGGAAGGCCCAGACAGCCAGGAUGUUGGCUUAGAAGCAGCCAUCAUUUAAAGAAAGCGUAAUAGCUCACUGGUCGAGUCGGCCUGCGCGGAAGAUGUAACGGGGCUAAACCAUGCACCGAAGCUGCGGCAGCGACACUGUGUGUUGUUGGGUAGGGGAGCGUUCUGUAAGCCUGCGAAGGUGGCCUGUGAGGGUUGCUGGAGGUAUCAGAAGUGCGAAUGCUGACAUAAGUAACGAUAAAGCGGGUGAAAAGCCCGCUCGCCGGAAGACCAAGGGUUCCUGUCCAACGUUAAUCGGGGCAGGGUGAGUCGACCCCUAAGGCGAGGCCGAAAGGCGUAGUCGAUGGGAAACGGGUUAAUAUUCCCGUACUUGGUGUUACUGCGAAGGGGGGACGGAGAAGGCUAUGUUGGCCGGGCGACGGUUGUCCCGGUUUAAGCGUGUAGGUGUGUGUUCCAGGUAAAUCCGGUUCACUUUAACACUGAGGCGUGACGACGAGGCACUACGGUGCUGAAGCAACAAAUGCCCUGCUUCCAGGAAAAGCCUCUAAGCAUCAGGUAACAUCAAAUCGUACCCCAAACCGACACAGGUGGUCAGGUAGAGAAUACCAAGGCGCUUGAGAGAACUCGGGUGAAGGAACUAGGCAAAAUGGUGCCGUAACUUCGGGAGAAGGCACGCUGACAUGUAGGUGAAGUGAUUUACUCAUGGAGCUGAAGUCAGUCGAAGAUACCAGCUGGCUGCAACUGUUUAUUAAAAACACAGCACUGUGCAAACACGAAAGUGGACGUAUACGGUGUGACGCCUGCCCGGUGCCGGAAGGUUAAUUGAUGGGGUCAGCGCAAGCGAAGCUCCUGAUCGAAGCCCCGGUAAACGGCGGCCGUAACUAUAACGGUCCUAAGGUAGCGAAAUUCCUUGUCGGGUAAGUUCCGACCUGCACGAAUGGCGUAAUGAUGGCCAGGCUGUCUCCACCCGAGACUCAGUGAAAUUGAACUCGCUGUGAAGAUGCAGUGUACCCGCGGCAAGACGGAAAGACCCCGUGAACCUUUACUAUAGCUUGACACUGAACAUUGAGCCUUGAUGUGUAGGAUAGGUGGGAGGCUUUGAAGCGUGGACGCCAGUCUGCAUGGAGCCGACCUUGAAAUACCACCCUUUAAUGUUUGAUGUUCUAACGUGGACCCGUAAUCCGGGUUGCGGACAGUGUCUGGUGGGUAGUUUGACUGGGGCGGUCUCCUCCUAAAGAGUAACGGAGGAGCACGAAGGUUGGCUAAUCCUGGUCGGACAUCAGGAGGUUAGUGCAAUGGCAUAAGCCAGCUUGACUGCGAGCGUGACGGCGCGAGCAGGUGCGAAAGCAGGUCAUAGUGAUCCGGUGGUUCUGAAUGGAAGGGCCAUCGCUCAACGGAUAAAAGGUACUCCGGGGAUAACAGGCUGAUACCGCCCAAGAGUUCAUAUCGACGGCGGUGUUUGGCACCUCGAUGUCGGCUCAUCACAUCCUGGGGCUGAAGUAGGUCCCAAGGGUAUGGCUGUUCGCCAUUUAAAGUGGUACGCGAGCUGGGUUUAGAACGUCGUGAGACAGUUCGGUCCCUAUCUGCCGUGGGCGCUGGAGAACUGAGGGGGGCUGCUCCUAGUACGAGAGGACCGGAGUGGACGCAUCACUGGUGUUCGGGUUGUCAUGCCAAUGGCACUGCCCGGUAGCUAAAUGCGGAAGAGAUAAGUGCUGAAAGCAUCUAAGCACGAAACUUGCCCCGAGAUGAGUUCUCCCUGAGACUUAAAGUCUCCUGAAGGAACGUUGAAGACGACGACGUUGAUAGGCCGGGUGUGUAAGCGCAGCGAUGCGUUGAGCUAACCGGUACUAAUGAACCGUGAGGCUUAACCUUACAACGCCGAAG